UGGGAAUGUGGCAGUGUAAAGUGUGUGGAACAGAAGUUUGUAGUAGGAGGAAGACGAAUGGUGACCCUGAAGAGGCACAUCCUCAUUUAAGAAAAGGAGAGAAAAAUGUCGAGUCCGGUCAUUCUGAGGAUUGUUUUUGGUGGGGAUGAUGAUGCAAGAAAGCUUACACUUAAGACAGGAAUCCCAAAGUCUGUGGAUGACCUUGUACUUGAAAUAAUGACUGUUUUUGGGGUGAAGCAAAAGUUCAGGCUCCAGUACAAAGAUAAGGACUUUGGAAAUGAAUACAUGAAUCUCAUGUCAACCAGUCAAAUUGAAGACAGGGAUACCCUGAAAGUGAUUUUUUCUAUCAACUGAUGACUAUAACUCCUGCAUGCAAGAGACUGCACCUGAUGCACCUUCCUGUUCCAGCAUUCUGGUUCCUUCACCCAGCUCAAUUUGUAGCUAUGACACAAUAGAUGUUAGCCCUUGUGCCAUUGACUCAGUCCAGGAAGUCAACUUGUCUGAUGACUCAUUUUCCAGCAGUGCUGAGACUGUCUUAAUUACGUCUCCAGAGUCGAGAACCAGUUCUUGGCCUAAGGUUUUUGUAGUUCCUCGUUUUUCAUGUUCUGCUGAAAUUCAGCUUCAGAGAGCUGACACAGAGUUCAACAAAAGUGAAAUGCUACUUAUUCCACCACCCAAACUAAGAUCUGACAUUCUUGAAGGCAUGGCUGAGGAGAUCUUUAUGUAUGCAGCAUACCCCUCUGAUAGUCAGC
Molecule: long non-coding RNA, 752 nt
Organism: Cyprinus carpio carpio
Lineage: Eukaryota; Metazoa; Chordata; Actinopteri; Cypriniformes; Cyprinidae
Source: Ensembl